Molecule: ribosomal RNA, 406 nt
Filed under: uncultured bacterium
Lineage: Bacteria
Description: partial 16S ribosomal RNA
Rfam family: Bacterial small subunit ribosomal RNA
Source: RNAcentral
AUUGAACGCUGGCGGCAGGCCUAACACAUGCAAGUCGAACGAGUGGCGGACGGGUGAGUAAUGUCUGGGAAACUGCCUGAUGGAGGGGGAUAACUACUGGAAACGGUAGCUAAUACCGCAUACCAUCGGAUGUGCCCAGAUGGGAUUAGCUAGUAGGUGGGGUAAAGGCUCACGUAGGCGACGAUCCCUAGCUGGUCUGAGAGGAUGACCAGCCACACUGGAAAUGAGACAAGGUGCAUAUUCCGUCGGGAGUCAGCAGUGGGGAAUAUUUCACCAGGGGUGGUAGGCUGAUGCAGGCAUGCCGAGUGUAGGAAGAAGGGCGUCGGGGUGGAAAGUACUUUUAGCGGGGAGGCGUUGCCCGCAUAAGAAGCCCAGGCUCACUCCGUGGCAGCAGCCGCGGUAAUUC